RNAcentral lists this microRNA (22 nucleotides) under Echinococcus granulosus. Its description in RNAcentral is "egr-miR-10256-5p". The record is from miRBase by way of RNAcentral. Lineage: Eukaryota; Metazoa; Platyhelminthes; Cestoda; Cyclophyllidea; Taeniidae.
UGGGCUAAAGUUGGUACAUGUA